RNAcentral lists this ribosomal RNA (253 nucleotides) under uncultured bacterium. RNAcentral describes it as "partial 16S ribosomal RNA". It matches the Rfam family "Bacterial small subunit ribosomal RNA", at positions 524 to 776 of the family's 1533-position model. The record is from RNAcentral.
GACGUAGGGCGCGAGCGUUGUCCGGAAUUAUUGGGCGUAAAGAGCUCGUAGGCGGUCUGUCGCGUCGAAUGUGAAAACCCGGGGCUCAACCCCGGGCCUGCAUUCGAUACGGGCAGACUAGAGUUCGGUAGGGGAGUCUGGAAUUCCUGGUGUAGCGGUGAAAUGCGCAGAUAUCAGGAGGAACACCGGUGGCGAAGGCGGGACUCUGGGCCGAUACUGACGCUGAGGAGCGAAAGCGUGGGGAGCAAACAGG